This 440-nucleotide ribosomal RNA is filed under the name uncultured bacterium. RNAcentral describes it as "bacterial SSU rRNA". It matches the Rfam family "Bacterial small subunit ribosomal RNA", at positions 338 to 790 of the family's 1533-position model. The record is from RNAcentral.
CCUACGGGAGGCAGCAGUGGGGAAUCUUGCGCAAUGGGCGAAAGCCUGACGCAGCGACGCCGCGUGGGGGAUGAAGGCCCUCGGGUUGUAAACCCCUUUCGGCAGGGACGAAGCGAUCGUGACGGUACCUGCAGAAGAAGCCUCGGCUAACUACGUGCCAGCAGCCGCGGUAAGACGUAGGAGGCGAGCGUUGUCCGGAUUCAUUGGGCGUAAAGAGCACGCAGGCGGUUUGGCAAGUCGGAUGUGAAAACCCGAAGCUCAACUUCGGGCGUGCAUCCGAAACUGCCCGACUAGAGGUAGGUAGGGGAGAUCGGAAUUCCUGGUGUAGCGGUGAAAUGCGCAGAUAUCAGGAGGAACACCGGUGGCGAAGGCGGAUCUCUGGGCCUUACCUGACGCUCAGGUGCGAAAGCUAGGGGAGCGAACAGGAUUAGAUACCCCAG